Molecule: long non-coding RNA, 1085 nt
Filed under: Lynx canadensis (Canada lynx)
Lineage: Eukaryota; Metazoa; Chordata; Mammalia; Carnivora; Felidae
Description: lncRNA (ENSLCNG00005007343.1)
Source: RNAcentral
UCUUCAAAAAAUGCUCAAUUCCUACAAUUAGUUCCCUCCCCCUCCACUUUUUUGACCUCAGAAAUUGGAGGGAAAAACUACAAUUGAGAUUACCCUUUACAGUUUUAAUUUAUAACUUUAAAACGACUUACUGUUUUAACGUUUUAUUUAAAUUUAUUUCAGUGCAUCAACACUACAGCUAGUUUAAUUUGCCCGUGUUUGGGCAAUAGCGUUUUAUCCCGGACCAUCUUGCGUCCUGUUUUUUGAGUUCCAAACAUCCAUGAAUUCUUGGCAUAUUAAUUUAGUUGGUUUACAGACUUCUACCGAAUUAUGAGUUUACGAGAAAAAAAGUUUAGGUGAGAAUGAUUAAUUUAUGCUCCCUAUUUUCCAGUUUACGUUUUUUAAAAUUAGGUUUUCAAUCCUAUUUUCUGCCCUACUUUUGAAAGCAAAAAAAAAAAAAUAGUUUCUUAACUUUUUUCCUGGGACAAGGAACGGUUGCAAACUCGAAGCUAUAGUAUUCUUGGAGAAAGAAGCAACCCCCCUCCCUCCCUUGGCUCCUUUAGGAGCUGAUAGGUCAUUUAUUAUUGGAACUGAAAUGGUAUAAACAAUUCUCUCUCUUUUUUCCCUUGUUAACAGCAACUUUCAUUGUUAGAGAGAGGAGAGAGAGAGAAGCCUUGUUGGUUGACGUCACUUGGUUCAUGAAGCCUUCGCCUAGAAGUGAAGCUGCUGAACAAACCUUGAGAAGAAUCAUCUCCUGCUUCAAUCUGCUGCUGGAUAGGAACUAAUCAGAGAGAGGCGGAAGGCGGAGAAGGAGGGAGUCAAGGGCUUUCCCGAUCACAAAUCUCACCUCCACUCCAACUCUCUUUAUACUUUUCUUGCAAAAAUAAUAAUCGAGAUAAGGAGGUGGUAGGGUUUCCAAAAACAAAAAUCGUAACCUUCAACCAUCUGGGGAAGACAAAAAUCCCACCCACCGCAACUCUCAGUUCGAAAGUAAAGAUUUCUCAACAGUGAUGUCACAAGAUUGACCACAUUGAUCACAGUAAGACUAAAACAAUAAUUAAGCUUUUAAGGAUGUUUUGUUUUCUCCAGAAUAACACUUGAGUUGG